Long non-coding RNA from Girardinichthys multiradiatus, 2853 nucleotides. RefSeq lists it as uncharacterized. The record is from RefSeq and is a predicted model, not a curated record. The transcript has 3 exons. Lineage: Eukaryota; Metazoa; Chordata; Actinopteri; Cyprinodontiformes; Goodeidae.
AAUCUUUCUGGCCAGCUCUGAAACCUGAUUUUUUGCAAGUUUGGUGGAAAGAGAUUGUAAAGCUUUUUCUGAACUAGAAAAGAAAACACUAACUUCUUCCUAUUACCCGUUCCAGGUGUGACCUCUGGCUGAUCGGACCUCGAACCAGACCUCUGUUGUUUUUUGCGGCUCCUUCCUGGACUAGAACUGAACCUGGCAGACUGAGUUCCUCUCCUGACUCAGUGCUUCUCCCUGGCGGAUUCCACGUCCCCCCCCCACCAGUAAGAAACGUUGUCUUUUAGGCCAUAUUCUGAGGUUCAGUCUCUAACCGUCUUUUUCUCCCUUGUUUCAUUUAGUGACGGGGAUUAGGUUCAUCGCUCUCAUAACUGCCUUGCUGAGUUUUUCAAUAAACUUCAACUAAACCGUUCUUGUUUUCUGAGUGUCUCUGCAUGUGAGUUAAGUCGGCAAUAAGAAACAUGACAGAGCACUCAGGCCGGCCUAACCCAGCAGAGGCUCUACAGAGAACCUUAGCCGAACAUAGUCAGCAGACCCAGACGCACGGUUCCACCCUCCAAACCUUCCUAGAUCAGCAGCGGCAGACUAACCAGCAAUUAGAGCAUCUGCCAUCUCUGUUCCAACGCGCCUGUAGCCCUGAGUCUGCCGCACCCGUGGGGGGGGCGCUGCCGAGCAUUUUGGCACCUCAACAGCAGCUUCUCUCCCGUGUCGUCACCUCCCCUAAUCUGGAGAAGUUCUCCGGAGAGGUGGGAGGUUGCCGUGGAUUUCGACUCCAGUACACACUAGUGUUCAACCGGUCCCCCCGAUCUUUUCCACAUGAUGAGGAAGCCUCCAGGAACACCGCCGCCACAUUCGGCUGAUUCUACAGCGCCUCCUUGAAAACAGACUGUACGUCAAGGUCGAAGUGUGAAUUUCAUCAGUUGACCGUCAGUUUCCUGGGAUUUGUUUUGGAGGAGGGACAGGUCCGCGCUGACCCAGGGAAGGUUCGAGCAGUGCUGGACUGGCCAGUACCUGACUCCCGGAAGAAGCUGCAGCAGUUCCUGGGGAUCGCCAACUUUUACCGGAGGUUCAUACGGAAUUACAGCCAAGUGGCGGCCCCCCUGACUGCGCUAACCUCCACCAAGACGACCUUCAGCUGGGGCACGGGGGCCAAGGCCACCUUCACCCGGUUAAAGAGGCUGUUCUCCCAAGUAGCUGUCCUGAUACAUCCAGACUCUGCUAAGCAGUUCACAUUGGAGGUUGACGCCUCAGACACCGGGGUGGGGCGGUCCUCUCUCAGCUUUCGGACCAGGAUGGGAGGCUACACCCCUGUACUUUCUUCUCACGACGACUGACCCCCGCCGAACAGAACUACCAGGUGGGAGACAGGGAGCUGCUAGCCAUCAAACUGGCCAUGGAGGAGUGGAGGCAUUGGCUGGAGGGCGCCAAACAUCCUGGGCUGGUUUGGACAGACCACAAGAACUUGUCUUACAUUCAGUCAGCUAAUCGUCUUGAUGCCCGUCAAUCACGUUGGUCACUUUUUUUCCCCCGCUUUAAUCUGUCUAUUUCUUUUAGGCCUGAUUCUAAGAACCUUAAACCCGACGCUCUGUCCCGCCAGUUCGGCCCUGGGGACUCUGAAAAACAGGCCGAGCCCAUUCUGCCGCCAAGCUGUACUGUUGGCUUCUUAACCUGGGAGGUAGAGAACCUGGUGUGGCGAGCCCUCCCUGACGAUCCAGGGCUGGGCAAUGGGCCCCCUGGACGGACCUACGUUCCAGCCACAGUACGGUCCACAUUGAUCUGCUGGUUCCAUACAGCCUAGUUCUCCACCCAUCCGGGAGUCAGUAGAACCGUUGCUGCAGUUUCCAGGCGUUAUUGGUGGCCGUCCAUGUGUAAAGACACCAGGGAGUACGUGAACGCUUGCACUACCUGCGCCAGAAGCAAAACCUCAAAUCAAUCCUCCGCGGGCCUGCUCCAGCCUGUCAACAUCCGCAAGUGACCCUGGUCUCACGUAGCUUUGGAUUUUGUAACGAACCUGCCGAACUCUCAUGAAAUGACUGUAAUAAUGACUAUAGUCGAUCGGUUCUCCAAGGCCUGCCACCUGGUCCCAUUCAGAAAGCUGCCGUCGUCUCUCCAGACAGCAAAGUUGGUGGUCAAACAUGUCUUCCGCCUGCACGUCAUCUCCAGUUGUCUGUUGUCCGACAGGGGCCCUCAGUUCACUUCCCGGGUCUGAAGACAUUUCUGUGAUGCUUAGAGGGCAAAGGUGGCACUGACUUCGGGCCAUCACCCCCAGUCGAAUGGCCAAGUUGAGCGUCUCAACCAAGAAUUGGAGGCGGCGCUACAGUGCGUAACAUCAACCAGCCCCACUGAAUUGAGUGCCUACUUGGGAUGGAUUGAGUAUGCCCACAACAUGCACGUCUCCUUUGCCACUGGCUACACACCUUUUGAGGCCUCCCUGGGGUACCAACCGCCGCUGUUCCUGUCGGAGGAGGGGGACAUCGCAGUUCCUAUGGUGCGACACCACAUCCGGAGAUGUAAGCGGGUUUGGGACGCCACCACCCGAGCACUUCACCGUACAGUGGCCCAAAAUAAGCGCUACGCAGACCGCCGACGUCUGCCUGCUCCCUGUUACCGCCCUGGUCAGAAGGUUUGGCUCGCCGCACAGGACAUCCCACUUAAGUCUGUUGGGACCCACAGCCAUGGAAACAACAUGAAAGAUACGUGAUCAUUGGGAGAGAAGGCACAGCGCGCUAAUUUCUCUUUGCCGGCAAACAGACAUAAACUCUUCAAACUGGAUCCAAGGGUGUCAUACGAUCAUCGAUCAGAUGCACUGAGUUAAGUACGGAUGAAUUACUGUUUGUGUACCCGGUAUUCAUUCAUAAA